This 261-nucleotide ribosomal RNA is filed under the name uncultured prokaryote. RNAcentral's name for it is "partial 16S ribosomal RNA". It matches the Rfam family "Bacterial small subunit ribosomal RNA", at positions 524 to 784 of the family's 1533-position model. The record is from RNAcentral.
UACGGAGGAUCCGAGCGUUAUACGGAUUUAUUGGGUUUAAAGGGUGCGCAGGCGGAAGAUUAAGUCGGUGGUGAAAUUCUGCAGCUCAACUGUAAAAGUGCCAUUGAUACUGGUUUUCUUGAGUGUGGAUGAAGUAGGCGGAAUUUGUGGUGUAGCGGUGAAAUGCAUAGAUAUCACGAGGAACUCCGAUUGCGCAGGCAGCUUACUAAACCAUAACUGACGCUCAGGCACGAAGGCGUGGGGAUCAAACAGGAUUAGAUA